Molecule: non-coding RNA, 54 nt
Organism: Salmo salar (Atlantic salmon)
Lineage: Eukaryota; Metazoa; Chordata; Actinopteri; Salmoniformes; Salmonidae
Source: Rfam
UGUAUUCACUACUGUAAAUCGCUCUGGAUAAGAGCGUCUGCUAAAUGACUAAAA